Molecule: ribosomal RNA, 251 nt
Filed under: uncultured prokaryote
Description: partial 16S rRNA
Rfam family: Bacterial small subunit ribosomal RNA
Source: RNAcentral
ACGGAGGAUGCAAGCGUUAUCCGGAUUCAUUGGGUUUAAAGGGUGCGCAGGCGGAAUGAUAAGUCAGUGGUGAAAUCCUACAGCUCAACUGUAGAACUGCCAUUGAUACUGUUGUUCUUGAGUACACUUGGAGUGGGCGGAAUGUGUCAUGUAGCGGUGAAAUACUUAGAUAUGACACACAAGACCGAGCGCGGAGGCAGCACACGAAAUUGUAUCUCACACUCUUGCACGUAAGUGUUGGGUUGAGACAG